CAUAGUUCGGGGAAUGGGAAAUGGUGGCGAGUAGCGCGGAUGGAAUGGAGGAAAAGUUGGUGAAGCAACAGCUGUGCUGGAAUGCGAACAAUAUGGGUGUCAGUACGGAUGGUAUGGAGCUGGAGGAUGAGGGUCAAGGACCGGAAUGGUCGAUAGUGGAAAGCCAGGAAGAAGAGGGAUCAAGAUGCAGAAAGCAGUUGAGCGUCUAGUUAACAAAGCAUAAACAGGGCCAAGCACAGUAGGUGGCGGCAUGACUUAAACGAUUGAUUACGGACCGCCAUGAUAUCAUAGAAGAAGAAGUAGAUAACAAAGAAGAAGACUUGACAAGCUCUUCUCUUGUUGCUACGAUCGCGAGAAGAGGGGGACAAGCUCAAUCUGCCUCACGUUGGAGGUUGCUGUCCUAUCUAUCUGGCUUACCCUCAGAUCCUCCCUUUUCCCCUCCUGGUUUCUUCCCGAACCUCUUGCUCUCCUUAAACCCUCUUUACUUGGAGUGAACCACCAUGGCAACAGCAAAGCCCAAAGGGCAGAACUCUCUGGCCCUCCACAAAGUGAUCAUGGUGGGCAGUGGUGGAGUGGGGAAGUCAGCCCUCACUCUGCAGUUCAUGUAUGACGAGUUUGUUGAGGACUAUGAACCAACCAAAGCGGACAGCUAUAGGAAAAAGGUAGUUCUGGAUGGGGAGGAGGUCCAGAUAGACAUCCUGGACACUGCGGGACAAGAGGACUAUGCUGCCAUCCGGGACAACUACUUCCGCAGUGGGGAGGGCUUCCUCUGUGUCUUUUCCAUCACUGAGGCAGAGUCGUUUGCAGCUACAGCAGACUUCAGGGAGCAGAUCUUGCGGGUGAAGGAGGAUGAGAGUGCACCCUUCCUCCUGGUGGGGAACAAGUCUGACUUGGAGGACCGGAGGCAGGUCAGCGCGGAAGAGGCCAAGGCGCGUGCUGAACAGUGGGGCGUGUGCUACGUGGAGACCUCUGCCAAAACCCGUGCCAAUGUCGACAAGGUAUUCUUUGACCUGAUGAGAGAGAUCCGAGCGAGGAAGAUGGAGGACAGUAAAGAGAAAAACGGCAAGAAGAAAAGGAAAAGUUUGGCCAAGAGGAUUAGAGAGAGAUGCUGCAUUUUAUAGUGACAAGGGUGUCAGUGAUUACUGCUUUGUGUAUAUAAAUAUUUCACCUAUUUUUGCAUUUUAUUUGUGCCCAUAGAAGCCCCUUACUCCUGGUUCUGGUACCCAGGGAUUCUAGUCUUGGAUCAGAAGUAACUGGUUGGUUUAACAAAAGGCGAUCUGGCAAGUCUCGAAGCAGGAGUCCGUAUUCCCCCUCGAGGCACUCCCGCUCACGCAGCCGUCACCGCCACUCUCGCUCCCGCAGCCGACCCUCCAGCCUCUCCCCCAGCACAUUGACCUUCAAGAGCAGCCUGGCGGCCGAGCUCAGCAAGCAGAAGAAGGCCAAAGCUGCCGAGGCAGCUGCCCGGGCCAAGAGCUCCAGUAGCACCUCAACUCCCACCAAGGUUCCCUCUGCAGGCUCCCACCAACCCAGCCCCAAAACCAACCACGCCACUAAGAAGGGCCCCA
Oncorhynchus tshawytscha (Chinook salmon) is the source of this 1565-nucleotide RNA transcript. It is a transcript of the gene named ras-related protein Ral-A-like, with no coding region annotated. The record is from RefSeq and is a predicted model, not a curated record. NCBI's taxonomy places the organism in Eukaryota, Metazoa, Chordata, Actinopteri, Salmoniformes, Salmonidae. The transcript is spliced from 7 exons.